CCCCGAGCGUUNUCCGGAUUUAUUGGGCGUAAAGCGAGCGCAGGCGGUUAGAUAAGUNUGAAGUUAAAGGCAGUGGCUCAACCAUUGUAGGCUUUGGAAACUGUUUAACUNGAGUGCAGAAGGGGAGAGUGGAAUUCCAUGUGUAGCGGUGAAAUGCGUAGAUAUAUGGAGGANCACCGGUGGCGAAAGCGGCUCUCUGGUCUGUAACUGACGCUGAGGCUCGAAAGUGUGGGGAGCGAACAGGAUUAGAUACCCUGGUAGUCCACGCCGUAAACGAUGAGUGCUAGGUGUUAGGUCCUUUCCGGGACUUAGUGCCGCAGCUAACGCAUUAAGCACUCCGCCUGGGGAGUACGACCGCAAGGUUGAAACUCAAAGGAAUUGACGGGGGCCCGCACAAGCGGUGGAGCAUGUGGUUUAAUUCGAAGCAACGCGAAGAACCUUACCAGGUCUUGACAUCCCGAUGCCCGCUCUAGAGAUAGAGCUUUACUUCGGUACAUCGGUGACAGGUGGUGCAUGGUUGUCGUCAGCUCGUGUCGUGAGAUGUUGGGNUAANUCCCGCAACGAGCGCAACCCUUAUUGUUAGUUGCCAUCAUUCAGUUGGGCACUCUAGCGAGACUGCCGGUAAUAAACCGGAGGAAGGUGGGGAUGACGUCGAAUCAUCAUGCCCCUUAUGACCUGGGCUACACACGUGCUACAAUGGCUGGUACAACGAGUCGCAAGCCGGUGACGGCAAGCUAAUCUCUGAAAGCCAGUCUCAGUUCGGAUUGUAGGCUGCAACUCGCCUACAUGAAGUCGGAAUCGCUAGUAAUCGCGGAUCAGCACGCCGCGGUGAAUACGUUCCCGGGCCU
Molecule: ribosomal RNA, 848 nt
Filed under: uncultured bacterium
Lineage: Bacteria
Description: bacterial SSU rRNA
Rfam family: Bacterial small subunit ribosomal RNA
Source: RNAcentral